This 861-nucleotide long non-coding RNA is filed under the name Zea mays. RNAcentral's name for it is "long non-coding RNA (ZMAY_LNC001244)". Lineage: Eukaryota; Viridiplantae; Streptophyta; Magnoliopsida; Poales; Poaceae. The record is from RNAcentral.
GACAACGGUCCAGCCUAGCAUCCAGAUUCCGGAAGUUAUACAGGCGACAACGGUCCAGCUGUUACAUAUCUAGAUGCUAGUCCCGAUUGAAUAGAAGUAUUCUGCACAUUGUUCAUUGAUGAUGUGAAGUUAUAGGCAUAGGAUCCAAAAGCAUGGAACCCAUUUAGUACAAAUAAAUGGAAGACAAAUAAACCACCCACAAACCAUACACAGAAAACAAUAGAUAAUCAAAAUAAUUGAUGUCGGUGUCUUCAACAUGGCCUUCCAUAUUGGCAAUUGCUCGGCUGCUCUAAUCUUCCAAAUUGAAGUAUUCUAGCAGGUUUAUGGAACCCAAUAGAAGGAUAAUACAUACAUGCAGAGCAAUGUCGUCGAGUAUACAAUAAUAUAGAAGAACCGAUAAUUAAGCUAAAGACAGAUUGAUGGUCAGGUGAAUUAAAUAAGAGAUUGUAGAGUCCUCUAUAAUAAUGGGUCAAAAAGACAGUCAUCGAUUUUGAAUGGAAGUGCCCCCCAAUAGUAUUGCUUUCUAAAUUUAGGAUAAACAUAGAGAGAGAACUGGGUAUACUCUAUUGAACUGCACUGCAAACUCGAUUUUUUAGCCAAGGGAAAGAACGAGGGAAUUAAUAAGGUAUACAUGAUGAAAAACAAAUAAAAUUCACUCUAUACCUUUCUGAAAUUCAAUGAAACUGAAACCACAAUGUUUACUGAUUGUGUUAAAUGCCUUAUCACAUUCACAUAUUAUAGAAAGAGAGAUAAGCAGCAUACCCACGCAAAAACCAGGCUGUCUAAUGGGUUCAUCUACAUGAUCAAAAUUCAAUAUGCGUUUUUCUGCCUCUCCAUUUAGCCAUUUGAUCUACUCCUCGG